GUAAACAGCUGGUUGGCCAGCUUUGUUUAGAGAGUGUGAAGCCUUUAUGUCUUUGAACCGAGCAGAGGAAGCAGAGCUGAAGAUAGUCAAACCGUUUGGGACUUCUGAACCGUUUAUUCAGACUUUCAUAGUGGCAUUUCAGGUUAGAAACAGAAAAUAAUUUAUGGUCUCCUCUCUUCUUGUAGGAGAGCAUGAAGAAUUUGGAAUGGACUUCACUUAGAAGAGAAAUUUAAGUUGGUGUAUUUGUCACAGGAAGUGAAAGAGAUUGAUUUAAAAUGAUGUGCCAGCAUUGCGGAGCAGUCCCAACAGAAACAGAGUUCUGUUUUCCCGGUUCCUGGAAAGAGAUGCCCUUCAGACAACAGCUUGGAGUGGAGGUCAGACAGGUGAGACAAUUUCCUCCCCACGACCAUACCUAUGGAGGCAGCAAAAAUCACUGUAUUGACAAUGCCGUUUCUCAAAGAACAGAAGCCGAUUACCAAGAACAUCCCUACCAUCAUGACUGUGAAUUGCUUUGUUGAGGCCCAGGGAAAAGUGGCUUAUGGUAUCUUGUUAUUUAGUCCUCACCUAGCUCCCAAUUUCCUUCUCUAAUAGCUGACACACCGUGCUUCCCCACAGCACAAGAUGUGCAGACCCCUUGCUGAAAUCUCAUGAAGUCAAGAUCCUCCAUGCCUGUGGAAGAUUUCAUCCUGGAGGCUUUCCACCGUUACAGCUGUGAAGUGAGACCACCAUUGGAUUUCAUGAAUUGUCUCUUUUCUUCAUUACCUUAUUGAGAUGUUUCCUUCUCCUAUUCUGGUUCUCUGUUUAUGCAGAGACUAAAGGAUGGUGUAUGUGUGUUAGACUGAGACCAGAUGAAAUGUUGGUGGGACUGGUUGCAAUAAGAACCAGGGCAGAGUUAAGGGCGAAAAUUUGGAAGAAGAGGAAGAGGAGAAUUGAAGUUGGCUGACUGAGAAAUGGGUCUGGGGAUGGAAAGGAUAGAAAUGAAACUGGGACUUUGGCAACAUAGGUGUGGUUCAGUUAAGAGCUAAAUAAUAGGAUGAGAAGGUGAGGAAUGCAGUCUGGGAUUAGGGAGGCAAUGAAAAUGAGGCAGAUGUGAAGAGCCAGGAGGAGAGAAGAGAAAGAUCUGAGUCAGGGUUGUUGGCAGUGGAGUGGAACAGGAGGACUCAAGCUUUGGAGGGGGGCAAGCAGGAGGGCCUGUGCCUGCUAGAGAACCAGGGCCCACAUGGUGCCCAAAAUGCCAAGUUUCACGGUUCCUCUGCGGUCGGUCAGGGUAGUGGUCAGCCCUAGAUUAUACAGAACUACACUCCAGAUGUCUAAAUGUGGUGUCUAAAUGUGUGAANNNNNNNNNNNNNNNNNNNNNNNNNNNNNNNNNNNNNNNNNNNNNNNNCUAAACAUCAGGACCUACAUCCACUUUUGAUGCCUUAGAAAAUUUCUUGAGGUGCCCUGGGAUACCCAAAUGACUGUAGGCACCUACUUUCAGGCAGCUGAAUUCCACCUUGACUCAAUUCAGUCCCAGGAGUU
This 1518-nucleotide long non-coding RNA is filed under the name Struthio camelus australis. RNAcentral's name for it is "lncRNA (ENSSCUG00000018510.1)". Lineage: Eukaryota; Metazoa; Chordata; Aves; Struthioniformes; Struthionidae. The record is from RNAcentral.